RNAcentral lists this long non-coding RNA (1038 nucleotides) under Brassica rapa (field mustard). RNAcentral's name for it is "long non-coding RNA (BRAP_LNC005083)". Lineage: Eukaryota; Viridiplantae; Streptophyta; Magnoliopsida; Brassicales; Brassicaceae. The record is from RNAcentral.
GAAAAACUCAGGGUUAUUUCUAAAAUGUACUUCUGUUUUAAUAGAUUAGAUAGUAUCUCCUCACUUUGAUAUGGAAGUUAUUAGUGCUUUAACGUGUUUCUUAAAUUUUUGUAGCUUUUUUCAAAUUCAAAUAUGAAUGCAGGGUACUCGAACGGACCGAUUUGAACACGAGAAGAGCUAUCAAAUUUUUGACUUCAUAGAACAAAAACUACUAUAUAUAUGAUAUAAACUUUUAUGUAAUUUACAAUCAAGCGAAGAGAUAAAGAAAUAAAGUGAAUUAAUAGAUAAAUAAUAUAAAGUUAAUGUAAAAUAGUGGAAUAAUUGAUAAUUUGCAACCAUCUCAUCCUUGACUGUUAAUUCUGGAAAACAGUUAAUCAGAUAUAAAUUACUGCAUGCAGUUUUAAAGACAUAUUUAUAAACAUUUUAAUAGACUUAUUUAGCAAAACAGAAAACAAACCAACAUUGAAACAGGCUUACUUUAACUCAUUACAAGCUGGAAAGAAAAAAAACAAAAAAAAAUUCUCCAUAUUUAAUCUUAUGCAUUAGUAUUCAUUAAUAAUUCUGCAUGGCUAAUCACAUAAUUAAUUACAUGUAACUAUAGAUCAUAUUCUAAAACAAAGUAAAUAUAAUCCCAGGAUUUCAUUUGUAAAAAUAAGAGCUGACUUUCAAAUAAUGUUAAGUCAACUUCAUAAAUUUCAGAGUGAUCGGUGCUAAAUUCCAAGAUGUAAAAUGAUAUUACAUGCCAUAUGUUUUAAUAAUCAAGUCAAAUAUGAAAUUCAACAGAAAUAUAUUUAUUGGGAUCUGUAACGCGUUUAGAAUAGAACCGUAAUGAUAGUAAAGUCAUGUCCCCAAAAUACUCGCUGAUGUUAUAAGCAGCAAGUCCUAGGGGUGGACACUUUAUCCGAUACCCGAAGCCGCAUCCGAAUCCGAUCUGAAAAACUCGAACCAAAAUCCAAAGCGAAGUAACAAAAUAUCCGAACGGAUAUUAAGUUAGGAGAGAUUGGAUAUCCAAACCCAAACGGGUAAUAUCCGAACCCG